Molecule: non-coding RNA, 684 nt
Organism: Musa acuminata subsp. malaccensis (wild Malaysian banana)
Lineage: Eukaryota; Viridiplantae; Streptophyta; Magnoliopsida; Zingiberales; Musaceae
Source: RefSeq, a predicted model, not a curated record
CGAGAUCGGGAAGCCAUCGAACCGUCUCUCCCUCCCUUCCUCGGAUCGUCGCCUUCUUCCGUUGCGACCGGGCCGAGGCUUACCUGCGGCUCCCAUGCCGAGGGGCAGGAGGACGGAGCCGUCGCGCGGCCCAACGCGUUGCUCCUCCUUUGGGGCUAUUGAUGGGGUUCACUUGGGCCGAUCAUCAUCGGAGUCGAUGUGGAGUGUGAUCUGCUCUUGUCUCGUGCUUGACGUUCUUGAUCUUUUGCGCUGUUAGUUUCUCGAUCCUUUUUUCUGAUCUUAAAUUCGGAAGACAUGAUUUAGAUUCCGAUCCUACCUCGUCAUCGGACUCCGCUGCCGCUCGCACGCGGGUCGUCGCUUUCUUCUGCUGCUGCCGUGGCGAGACCGAUGACAAGGAGCAGGAGGACGGAGCCGUCGCGAGGCCCGAGGCGGUUCUCCUUCGUAGGGCCGAUCAUCAUCGGACUCUCCGGUUUCUCGUCGAUAAGGCAUCAUUUAGAUCCCGAUCCUACUUCCCCCCCCAAGACUUAUGGAGCUGUCGCGAGACGUUCAACAAGUUCGCCUCUGUUUAGGGCCAAGCCGGCUUCGCUUCGGCAGAUUAUCGUCGGAGCUUCCGGUUUCCCGCUGAUCCCGAUCUCAAGGUGACAUCUACCCUUUGUUCAUGAUAUGUUGCUCUCUCACUCUCUC